GAUGAACGCUGGCGGCGUGCUUAAUACAUGCAAGUCGAGCGAACAGACCCUGAGUUUGUGCCUUGCACGUUAGGGGCGGACGGGUGAGAAACGCGUGUAUAACCUACCUAUCAGACUGGGAUAUUCACGGGAAUCGGGCUCUAAUACGGUAUAAUAUCUUGAAGCGCAGGGUUCAAUAGAGAAUUACGGUUUUGCGGUCUGUAAUAGAGGGUUCCGCGCUGCAUUGUGUAGUUGGUACUGUAACGGCUUACCAAGGCUAGGAUGCGUAGCCGACCGGGGAGGGGGAUCGCCCACACUGGAAGUUAGACACGGACAAGACUCCUACGGUAGGCAGCAGUAGGGAAUCUUCCGCAGUGGGCGAAAACCUUACGGAACAACGCCGCGUGAGUGAUGAAGGUCUUCGGAUCGUAAAGCUCUGUUAUUAGGGAAGAACAAAUGUGUAAGUAGCUAUGCACGUCUUGACGGUACCUAAUCAGAAAGCCACGGCUAACUACGUG
RNAcentral lists this ribosomal RNA (497 nucleotides) under uncultured bacterium. RNAcentral describes it as "partial 16S ribosomal RNA". It matches the Rfam family "Bacterial small subunit ribosomal RNA", at positions 28 to 507 of the family's 1533-position model. The record is from RNAcentral.